UUUCUCCUCCAACAAUUGACGCCACUUCUCUGCCGACAUCAUCUCCUAUUUCAAACCCUAAACUAUCAAUUUUCUUUCUGAUUCUUAACCCUAAACUAUCAUUCUGGCCGUUUCACUUCGUUUCGCAAAGAAGAUAUCAAUUGUUCAUCCCCGCAAACCCUAAUCGCAUCAACAACUAUCAAGCAUGAGCAUAAUCUGGUGUAAAUAUUUGAUUCUUGCUUCCAAUUUAUGAUUCUCUGUGUGUUUCUUCAACUUCUAAGUUUUUUUCAAAGCUUUUUUUUUUCUGAGUUUCAAACCCUACAUCAUUUGUUCUGAGCAUAAUCCGGUGUAAAUCUUUGAUUCUUCACUCGCAAUAUGGAAUAUUGUAGGUUAUGUGGUGGGUCGGAUCCAAAAACUGGGAAAAAAUGCCAUAGCCGCCGCCUCCAACAUGACGGCUAGGGUUCUGAUGAGUUGAAUCUGGUGAAGCAUAUCCACAAGUCAUAUGCCAUCUGUUUUGGGAGGGAAUCAUUCUAAAUACUCUUUUGGAUGCGGGAUCCAUUUGUUAUUCGGGUUGAAAUCCUGAAUUCGGGUCAAGCAUGACGGAUGAAAUGUGUUUUGAAAUGUGAUGUAUGUUUGUAUGGUUGGUUAGACCCGGAAGCACCUUGUGAGAUUGCUCCAAACGUUGUUGUUGGUGUUGCGGAACCUGUUGUAAAUGGUGUUCGUUAUAAGGAUAUUGCUAUGGAGGGAGGAAGUGCUAAUAGAAUAACUUGAGUUGAAGAAGAAGGAAACACAACUCCCGAACCUGAUAGGAUACUAUUUCUGCAUUUUUAUACAUGGAAAGAAUAUUUUUAUAAUGCAAACUAAUUAACAUUCUUUGUGAAGGUUAUCUUCUUUCAGUAUGUUUGGCUUGUAAUCAGUUUAAUAUGUUAAUUUUACACAGGUACAAGUGGGUCGUUCUCUUUUUUAUAAGACAAAAAGGAAGUUGGGUAAGGGUGGUUUUGGGUAGGUUUAUGUUGGCAGGACGGUGACAGGUAGCAGUGGUAGAACGGGACUUGAUGCAACCGAGGUAGCAUUGAAGUUUGAGCAUUGUAAUAGUAAAGGUUGUAACUACGGGCCUCCUUAUGAGUGGCAAGUAUACAUUUCAUUGAAUGGAUGCUAUGGUAUUCCAUGGGUCCACUACAAGGGCCGACAAGGUCAUGGAUAUGCUCAGACCGAGUGUUUGGGAUGUUUGGAGUUCAUUCGGCCAAUCGUUAGACGAACAAAUAUGCUAGCUUGCUUUGCAAUCGAGGCCAUAUCAAUUGUUGAAAAGCUUCACUCAAAGGGUUUUGAGUUGUUAGGAAUGCACCGUAACGUGCAACAUCGAGUGGAUUUCAUGGAAUAGGCACCAGGUGCGCGCUACUGUGCAAUUGUCGGGGAUUUCAAGGAUUGGUCUCCGACUAAAAAUUGUGCAAGAGAGGGGCAUACGGGCACGAUGAUUACGGGUAUUGGUUCGUGAUACUUGAAGAUAAGUUAAGAGACGGUGAAGAACCAGAUGAACUCUUUUUUCAACAGUAUAAUUAUGUCUUACGAUAAGGGUGAUAGUGGUGUCACUGCUGACGAAGUUUUCCAAAAAGCAAACGAUGAGUAUUCGGAGCCCGGAAAAGAUCGGUUUGUAAAGUUAUGCUUUCAAAUUAUUCCUAAAUUAUACGAGCAAAUGUUCAGGCUAAAAGGGCUCCUAUUGCUUACUGGUUUGAGACCCGUAAAGGAAGAAAAGCGUGGUUAAAGAAGUACGCACCUGCUAUUCCUCACGGAAGCAAGUAUAGAGUGUAUUUUAACACUCCUAAUGGGCCCUUGGAACGGAUUCACGCUUGGGCUACUUAUGUGAAUUCUGGUUCAUGUGAUGCAGGGUGGAAGCGUGCUGGAUAUGUAAGAUAAGAAAUAAUAUAUUUCAAAGAUUUGUGAAUUUGUAGGUAGCACUUCCACUGGAGACAACUACAUGAAUGAUUUAAAGAUUUUGGAGUAGAUGUUGUAUAAGAAUAAAAAGACUAGGCUCAACAACCAUCCACAUUCCAGGAGGUAACUGAACUAGACGGGAUAACAACGUUGUUAUCCAUCUUACCAGACAGAUUUGGCAUCGACCUAUGGGUCUGGAGUUCGGAUGCAUCUGGUGUAUUUUUGCUAAAGAACUUCAAACAAAAAAAUGAAUUCAACAUCUUCUUCGGAGCAUGGCACGGUCUUUGAAUGGAACAAUUGGGUAUCACUUAAAGUCAUUUUUAGCGUGGAGGUUGGGGUUGGAUCACUUGCCUAUGAGUACAAAUCCGGCAAGACGAAGUGUUAGUAUUGGGUCUAAUAUGUGCAGCUUUUGUGGAGCAUAUGAGGAGUCUGCAGAACAUCUUUUAGUAUCAUGUGGGAUGAUGCAAAUUAUCUGGGACUUUAUUAAUACUUGGUACAUGCUUUAUGGCUUCUUUUUCUUUGAAUUCGAGGACCAGUUGAAGUUUUAUAAGAAGCGAGAGGCUCUGUGAAGUGGAGAAAGGUUGUCUACUCCAUUAUUCUAACGGUCGUGUGGUGCAUUUGGCGAAGUCAAAACAGUAUUAUCUUCAACCGUAAACAACCAAAGGUGGAGAGUUUAAAGUAGGAAAUUAGAGUUUUGGCGUACCUAUGGGUUAAACAUCAGUCAAAAUCCGUUGGUUUAUCUUAGGAAAAUUGGCGAAAUUUCGUGUUAAUUUUUUGGGUCUAUGUAGUUUGUUGUCUGGUUGUUUUUGGAUGUGGAUUAGCACAAUGAUAAUCUAUUUUUUUAAUAAAAU
Molecule: long non-coding RNA, 2762 nt
Organism: Helianthus annuus (common sunflower)
Lineage: Eukaryota; Viridiplantae; Streptophyta; Magnoliopsida; Asterales; Asteraceae
Exons: 11
Source: RefSeq, a predicted model, not a curated record